Morone saxatilis (striped sea-bass) is the source of this 1487-nucleotide long non-coding RNA. RefSeq lists it as uncharacterized. Lineage: Eukaryota; Metazoa; Chordata; Actinopteri; Moronidae. The transcript has 2 exons. The record is from RefSeq and is a predicted model, not a curated record.
CUGUAAAUAGGGCAAGUGCAAUAUGAGCGUGCAAACCCCCCACUGUGUGUCCAAUAUGGCCUCCAGCGUGCAUUGAGCUGGUUAAUAAUGCAGGCUGAGGACCUGCAAGCAAUCAGCUUAACACAGUGCUGCCACAGGGACGUUCACAUUGAUCAGCACAGAAACAGACAUCCUGACUAUCAUCACCACGAAGCACAGCGCUACCACAAGCUGAAAGAGGCUAUUAUGUGAAACCCGAGCCAUCCUCUUCCUCUGCUGCCUCUCUUAUACGCUCUGACUACCAAUGCCCUCUGAUUCUGCCAGACAAGGAGAGAGACGGUGGGUCACCGAGCUCACCCACUUGUCCUCGCAAGUGCAAAUGCUCACUCACCAUGAACGCUGCAGUUCCUCACAGAUGGACAAUCCUCCGGUGGGGGUUCGUUUUCCAAAACCCUAGCCUAGCGUCAUUGCUGCUCCCGAGGGCUCACUCCUGGCAACAGGGCACCCAGGAGCGAGAAGACGAGGAGGAGGUGAAAGAGGAGGGCAGAGGGACAGUCAAGCGGCCGACAGAGGGACACACCCCGCAUUGGAAGCGAUGCAGCAGCAGCAUGAUACCCCUCUAUCACCCCCCAUCUCUCUCUCUCUCUCUCUCUGUGAGCAGUGACGGUACACUGAUCGGCUCUGCAUCAGGUCUAUUGCUGCUGCUGGUGUGUGUGUGUGUGUGUCUGUGUGUCAGCAAAUCAGCACCGCCGUGUGUUAUUAGUCACCAUCGCUGCACUGAAAGGAGCUCUGCGCUCCGCUGUGCCCUGGCAGUCGUUCUAAUCAACCCCAGAGUAAUGGAUCAGGUUUCAGCCACUCAGCCUUCUGCUCUCUUAAUCCAGUCGAGACUCAACAAGAAGCUGCAGCUCAAGUGCCGAUGCGAGUUAUACAUUGUGUGCUCUGGGAGAACUGUCACCCUUGUUCCUCACUAUACAUAGAUGCAGUGGCUGCCUGACAACGUAGCAGUCAGACCUGUAGAUGUACAGCUUUAACCAGAAGCCAAUAUUACCCGUUUAUGAGCUGUAAAAGUUUAUUAAUUUUAUUUUUUAAUAUUCCAUACUCUACCAAGAUGUGACCUAGGGUUGUACCGACCAUUUGUUUUACAUUCUACGCUUCUAUUGAGGGUUUCCAAUGACGCUUUGAAUGUCUGCCUGCUCGAAUAAAGAGAUUCAAUCUGAUUAAAUUAGUUUGACUUUUUGUUAAGUACAAGCAGGACAAGUUGGAUUUGUCUGUUGCUGUUUAACAGAUUCAAAGUUGGAGUUUUAGAGAGAGAGGGUGCAGCGGUGGUCAAGUGAACUAGAGAGUGAAUUGAGAGAAGGAGCACAGGUAGUGAGAACAAAGCAGGGAAUCAGAGAAAUAAAAAGGUAUUUUCUGUUUGGAUUUUUUAAAUGAUUUUUGCAUUCAUGUGACAAAUUAUAUGUUUGUUUGUUUUUGGCUAACCUAGUAAAUAAAAUACUUGACAAACAGUU